Podarcis raffonei (Aeolian wall lizard) is the source of this 1995-nucleotide long non-coding RNA. RefSeq lists it as uncharacterized. The transcript is spliced from 2 exons. Lineage: Eukaryota; Metazoa; Chordata; Lepidosauria; Squamata; Lacertidae. The record is from RefSeq and is a predicted model, not a curated record.
UAGAAGGGGUGCCAACGAACUUGAAAUAAAAAACACUGUAAUUAAAAACAGUACUCUGAAAAGCAGAAACCUGGAGAAACUUCUGGCCAUCAGGUAUACUUGUAUGAUGGCUCUCCCAUGAACACAGUUUGUAGUGGCAGCUCAUAACACUGGAGCCUUUUGUUGACACUAACAAGGCUUAUAUUUCCUUGAUACCUCUGAAACUGUCACUGGAAUUUUUUUAAUGAAUGUUCCUUGCUGUGCUUUGACUGGAAUUUUCACAAAACAAGACUUUAAACUUGGAACACAAGUCAAACCACUUUUGCCUUAAUUUGUCUGGUGAGGCAUCAGUAGACAAAACACCACUUGGGCCUCAAGUUUAUCGUAUUUUUCUUAAAAUGCAAUGUUAACUUUACCUCUAAAAUAUUUAAGAUGCUGCUGCCUUAAGUAACUAAAAGAUCAUUUUGUGGGAAAACAUGGUUUACAACUUAUGUCAGGGAUUAAUGUUUACUUGAAAACAAUUCAUUGUCAAAAUGUUCUUAAUAUUGCAGGAAUCGCUGCCUUUUAGUGUGGUAUGUUUGGUCUUGCCGUUUGAGGAACCUGAGGUAACCUUGGAAACUGGUCAGUCUUAAAAGCUGCAGUCCUUGAACCAGAGUUGAGGCUGUUCGUUUACAGCCUGCGAAGACAUUAGGCUACCGUUUACUUUAAGCAAAGGCCUACUGAUAAUUUUUUAAAAUCACAAUGUCACUUAAUAGAGACACCAUUUUAGCUCUUGUACAUACAAAGGCUUAUUCUCUCUCCCCCUCCCUUCCCCCAUUACUUGAGGGUGGAGCCACACGUGGUGGAGAAAGCAAAGGAUUCUGAAGCCUGUGUUUUACUGUGUAAACCAAAUCCUGAGCUGUAGUGAGGCACUUGCGGGGACAUAAAACAGGGAGCUGCUGCUUACCCCACCUACCAGUUCCCCCAUGCAAAUGUUACUCCCAAGCCAUUUAAAUUUCUUCCCCAUUUCCUAAGAGGUACCAAAAUCAAAAGCGAAGCCUGUCUGAUGGGAAAACAGCUGAUGUUGAGGCAGGUGUAGAGGGAAAACUCAAUUGAUAUGUGACAAGUACUCAACCCAGCCACUUAGAUUUUAUUCCUGUUCCCACACUCCACAUUUGCAGUACCUCUGCAAAUGCAGAUUUGGGAACGGAGGGUUUGCCAGAUUAACAUGAUGUUUUGCCUUAAGUCCCAUUGAUUCAUUGCAGUUUAGCUCCACUUAUCUGUACUUCGGGAUCAUUAUCUUAACUAUACUGGUGCGAUUAAGCUUCCCGCAGGAUUUCUGUGGGUUUGGUUUUUUUGAAGAUUCCUGCUAGAAUAUGAAGUGCUCACUUGAUAUUCAGCUGUUUGUCCUGUUAGUCAUUAAAAGCCAGUAUUGUUUGUGAAAAGGGUUCUCAGGAUUGCAAUACAGACUAUGUGCAAUAUAUUGCUUUUAUUCUGUCUAGAGUCCAGUGUGUGUGUGUGUGUGUGUGUGUGUGUGUGUGUGUGUGUGAUGGUAGGAUGUUCAUCAUUCUGCUUUUUAAGUUAUAUAAUUUUUAGAAAAAUAGUUUGUGAGAGGGUUGAGUUGGAUUUUAGAGUGCAGAAUUGUGUUUCCCCUUUUCAGAGGAAGUAUGUUGGCUGGGGACUGAUGUCUUUAAAGUGUACUGUAGUCUGGGCAUGUCACACUUUAAGCGAAAUGAAAGUAGAUGUUGUGUUCCCUUUUUGUUACAGAUUUAAUUGAAAAGUGUUUAUGCAAAAAAUUAGAAUAGUAUCCGGAAGUUUUCUUUUUGUAUUUAUAUACGACUUGGUAUCUACAAUAUUUUGUGUGUUGUAAGCAAAUUUUAACCACCCAAUUGUGUAAAUACUACUGAGGAAGCUCUGGUUGUAGAAUCCAGUGUGUUCAUUUUAUUGGCCUUGCAGAGAAGCCUCCCCCGCCCCCAUUUGACAUUCGUAAGUAUCUCCAUCUUACAGUAGGUUAUUCAAUAAACACAGUGCAAAAUA